RNAcentral lists this small nuclear RNA (301 nucleotides) under Meriones unguiculatus (Mongolian gerbil). RNAcentral's name for it is "7SK RNA (ENSMUGG00000006061.1)". It matches the Rfam family "7SK RNA". From Rfam's summary of the family: 7SK was discovered as an abundant small nuclear RNA in the mid-70s but a possible function has only recently been suggested. Two independent studies have found that 7SK RNA binds the CDK9/cyclin T complex (known as elongation factor P-TEFb). P-TEFb activates transcription by phosphorylating the C-terminal domain of RNA polymerase II. Lineage: Eukaryota; Metazoa; Chordata; Mammalia; Rodentia; Muridae. The record is from RNAcentral.
GGAUGUGAGGGUGCUCUGACACCCCAUGGAACACUGUGGCUGGUUUGCCUGGCUGACUGGCUAGGUGGCUGUCCCAUUUCUCCCUUACUGCUCUAUGGGGGGCUUUCUAGAAGCCACACAACCAGGCAAAGCAGACAGCCUCCCCCAUCCUUUUGGUCAAGGAUAUACAAAUAACGGUUCUCCUUGCAAAAACCUCCAAAUAAACUUUCCAAGAAAUUAAAAUAUCUGCAUAUAGACUUAAGUAAGUCAUUUGCAGGAUUUUUAAAUGAAAACUGCACUCUUAAGUGAGAAUAGAGCAUUU